AAUAGAUACCCAGGUAGUCCACGCCGUAAACGGUGGGCACUAGGUGUGGGCGACAUUCCACGUCGUCCGUGCCGCAGCUAACGCAUUAAGUGCCCCGCCUGGGGAGUACGGCCGCAAGGCUAAAACUCAAAGGAAUUGACGGGAGCCCGCACAAGCGGCGGAGCAUGUGGCUUAAUUCGACGCAACGCGAAGAACCUUACCAAGGCUUGACAUACACCGGAAACGUCCAGAGAUGGGCGCCCCCUUGUGGUCGGUGUACAGGUGGUGCAUGGCUGUCGUCAGCUCGUGUCGUGAGAUGUUGGGUUAAGUCCCGCAACGAGCGCAACCCUUGUCCCGUGUUGCCAGCAGGCCCUUGUGGUGCUGGGGACUCACGGGAGACCGCCGGGGUCAACUCGGAGGAAGGUGGGGACGACGUCAAGUCAUCAUGCCCCUUAUGUCUUGGGCUGCACACGUGCUACAAUGGCCGGUACAAUGAGCUGCGAUACCGCGAGGUGGAGCGAAUCUCAAAAAGCCGGUCUCAGUUCGGAUUGGGGU
This 534-nucleotide ribosomal RNA is filed under the name uncultured bacterium. RNAcentral describes it as "bacterial SSU rRNA". It matches the Rfam family "Bacterial small subunit ribosomal RNA", at positions 777 to 1304 of the family's 1533-position model. The record is from RNAcentral.